AACAUGUCUUUUAGAUUAUAAUUUAAAGUCGAAUCUGCUCCAUGAUGAAAAUUAAAUAGCUGCAGAAUUUUAACUGUACAAAGGUAGCAUAAUCAAUAGUUUUUUAAUUGAAAGCUGGUAUGAAUGAUUUGACAAGAUAAAUAUUGUCUCGAAUUUAAUAAUAUUAGAAUUUUUAUUUUAGUAAAAAUACUAAAUUAAUUUUAAAAGACGAGAAGACCCUAUAGAUUUUUAUAAUUUUAUAUUAAAAAAAAUUUAAAUUAAAUAAAAAUUUUUAAUAUUUAAUUAUUUUAUUGGGGAAAUUAUUAAAUUAAUUUAAUUUUAAUAUUUUUAUUAAACAAGAAUUAUUGGUUUAUUGAUCUUAAUUAUAAAUUAAAAGAAUAAAUUACCUUAGGGAUAACAGCGUAAUUUUUUUGGAGAGAUCAUAUUGAUAAAAAAGUUUGCGACCUCGAUGUUGAAUUAAGAUAAAAUUUUAAUGGAAAAAUUAAAAAUUUUUGGUCUGUUCGACCAUUAAAAUCUUACGUGAUCUGA
Molecule: ribosomal RNA, 528 nt
Filed under: Hoeocryptus bellicosus
Lineage: Eukaryota; Metazoa; Arthropoda; Insecta; Hymenoptera; Ichneumonidae
Description: partial 16S large subunit ribosomal RNA
Rfam family: Archaeal large subunit ribosomal RNA (bases 393-528)
Source: RNAcentral